Molecule: transfer RNA, 77 nt
Filed under: Hyphomicrobium sp.
Lineage: Bacteria; Pseudomonadati; Pseudomonadota; Alphaproteobacteria; Hyphomicrobiales; Hyphomicrobiaceae
Also listed under: 5 other names
Description: tRNA-Arg
Rfam family: tRNA
About the family: Transfer RNA (tRNA) molecules are approximately 80 nucleotides in length. Their secondary structure includes four short double-helical elements and three loops (D, anti-codon, and T loops). Further hydrogen bonds mediate the characteristic L-shaped molecular structure. tRNAs have two regions of fundamental functional importance: the anti-codon, which is responsible for specific mRNA codon recognition, and the 3' end, to which the tRNAs corresponding amino acid is attached (by aminoacyl-tRNA synthetases). tRNAs cope with the degeneracy of the genetic code in two manners: having more than one tRNA (with a specific anti-codon) for a particular amino acid; and 'wobble' base-pairing, i.e. permitting non-standard base-pairing at the 3rd anti-codon position.
Source: RNAcentral
GCAUCCGUAGCUCAGCUGGAUAGAGUACUGCCCUCCGAAGGCAGGGGUCACAGGUUCGAAUCCUGUCGGGUGCGCCA